CGAAUCCCUGCACUGCACUAGCACUUGCACCGGCCGACGCACACUCCCCCCUCCGCUCCCGCUUGCUCCCCAGAUCUGAGCCCCCUCCCGGUCGCGCCGCAGCUCCCCUAAUCCGCGCGCGCAAACCCUAAGCCCACGCGAUCCCAAUGCGCAGGGGGCCCGGCGGCGAGGCGUCGCUCCGCCGGCGCCGCGGGCCGGCGCGGCUCUGGGUGGCCUUGGCGGCGCUAGCGACCGGCACUAUCUGGCUCUGCUCCUCCUCCUCCGUCGGCCUGUUCGGCGCACUGUACAGGGUCCAGGUGCGAUCGCCACGGCCGCCGCCUGCUUUCUUAGCGUGCGGCUCUUGGUUUCGGUGUGCGCCUGUGCGGUCUACUCUGCUUGACCUAUGGAGUAAUGGUUGAUGGCAUUGGCAUGGUUGUGUUGUUCCUGCUCAUUAGUAGCCAUUUGGGUGCUCUUUACAUUAGUUAGAACUUGGAGCUCCUUUGAAGUAAUUCCACCCUGGGUGUAUGCCAUGUUGGGUUCUGUUGCUGCUUGAAUCCCCAUUAAUUAAGAUGCGCACUUGGGACUCAGAAUAUUUGCAUUACUAUCUAUAUUCAUUAAUUAAGAUCAAAUCAACACAAGUUUGAUCCCAUCUGUUUUGUUGUGGCAUAUCUGUGUAGCUACAAAGGUUUAUAGCACGGUUAAAAAGCUCGGCAAGUAUUCUUUUGAGUGGAUCAAGAUACAUUGCUUGGUUACAGUAUGUCAAGGUUGAGGACAAGGAGCCGCACGAAAUGUGACAAAUAUUACUGAAUUCUAGAUCCAUGAUGAUAUUAAGUUUACAUGGAUUACAAUUCUCACCACAAAAAUAAGGAUGUUGAUGUAAAUAAGUUGUGGAGAACUGCACAUUCAAAUGGUUGGAGAGCAUCCUCUGCACCACGCACCUAUUGGCCUCCCCCACCAACUGAGUCUGAGAGUAGUGGGUACUUGCGUGUCCGAUGCAACGGUGGCUUGAACCAACAACGUAGUGCAAUAUGUAAUGCUGUUGUUGCUGCACGAAUCAUGAAUGCUACACUAGUACUACCAGAGAUAGACACAAAUUCAUUUUGGCAUGAUGAGAGUGGUUUCGUAGGCAUUUAUGAUGUUCCCCACUUCAUCAAGAGAUUGAAAUAUGAUGUUCGAAUUGUUAUGAGCAUUCCAGAAAUCACUGCAAAUGGAAAGACCAAGAAGCUCAAGGCACAUCAGGAGCAUACUAUACUCAUGGGACACUCUUCAUCAUAACAGAUUCGACCACCUAGAGAUGCGCCAGUAUCUUGGUAUGCAACAGUCGCUUUGGAGAAGAUGAAGAAAUAUGGGGCUGUAUAUUUAACUCCAUUUUCACACCGUUUGGCAGAAGAUAUUGAUGAUCCAGAGCUUCAGAGAUUGAGAUGCAGGGUGAAUUAUCACGCACUCCGAUUCAAGCCACAUAUCAUGAAAACAAGCAGUGAGAUAGUGAACAAGCUCCGCUCAGAAGGCCAUUUCAUGUCAAUUCAUCUUCGUUUUGAGUUGGAUAUGCUUGCAUUUGCCGGGUGCAUUGACAUAUUCACGCCUCAUGAACAGAAAAUUCUGUUGAAGUACAGGAAAGAACAUUUUGCAGAAAAGUUACUUAUCCCCGGGGAGAGAAGGCUCAUUGGAAAGUGCCCUUUAACUCCAGAAGAGGUAGGUCUUAUUCUACGUGCUAUGGGAUUUGACAAUAAAACACGCAUUUACCUUGCUUCUGGUGAGCUCUUUGGUGGGAAACGCUUCAUGAAGCCAUUCAAGGCUAUGUUUCCACGCCUAGAGAACCACAGCACUGUUGGACCUGGAAAGCUGGAAGAAAAUACCCAAGGGCUAGCAGGAUCGGCAGUUGAUUACAUGGUCUGCCUGCUAUCAGACAUUUUUAUACCCACAUAUGAUGGCCCAAGCAAUUUUGCAAACAACCUCAUGGGCCACCGCAUGUACUACGGUUUCCGGACCACGAUCACACCAAACAGGAAGGCCCUUGCCCCGAUCUUCAUCGACAGGGCACAAGGCCGUUCCACUGGCUUUGAGCAAAGGAUCAGGCAAGUCAUGUUCAACACACAUUUCGGUGGCCCCCACAAGCGAAUCCAUCCAGAAUCUUUCUACACAAACUCGUGGCCAGAGUGCUUCUGCCAGACUAAUGCUAGGAACCAUGCAGACCGGUGCCCACCUGAUAACAUAAAUGAUGUUCUCGAAAGUCAGUUCCAGAGCGAAGAAGAAAUGGAAGAAGCGAGAACAACUAAUCAGACUGACUCAACCGGCCAAACAGAAGAGCUGAUGAUUUGACUGAGGUAGCUAAGGAUUACUGCUUGAGAACAUAUUGGGCACUUGGAUCGUUCCAAGCGGACUAGGUUACAUUUUUGGAGGAAUGGAUCAAUUGAUGGAUGAUGAUCAACUAUUGGCAAUUCUGUUUGAUUGGAGCUGUUGACAUGUCAAGGUUGUAAUCCAGGGAGGGUCGAGCCAGAUUUUGGGCACGUCUGGCCAUAUAGGGUUUUGAUGGAGCUGUUAGAUUGGAUGCACCGAUAGUUGGUUUUGAUGGAGCUGUUAGAUUGGAUACGUGGAUAGUUGGUUUUGGAGCUGUUAGAUUGGAUACGUGGAUAGUUUUCACCUCAUUGAUGAGUGCUGAGUGUUGUGGAUUAUGAAACCUUAUGCAUAUCGAUAGUUUUCACCUCAUUGACGAGGGCAGAGUGGUGUGAAUUAUGUGGCAGCAACAACAUUCGGGAGCCUUUACACGAUAUGCUAUGUCAGACUGUUUAGUGGCUCCGGUUCUACCAGCUUUAUGCUGUACCCCUCUAUGUUUGCACUAAUUAUAUUGCUUCAUCUUGUUUCUGGAGGCUGGAGGGGCUAUUCCUUUUCUGUGGAGCUUUCCUGGAAUAUUCUCGCUUGUUGCUGGCCAAAUUAAGGUUUCAAAAAAAUGUUUAUCUUUGUGCUCUCUGUACGCUAUUUUUUUUUCUUGUAUCUCGUGACCUGUACAUGACGGAUGGGAGCUCAUGUUGAACAAGAACACUGCAUAUUGCCAAGACUUUGGUAGUAAUUGUUCAAGAAAUCAACCAAGAAAAUAUUGAAAAUA
RNA transcript from Panicum virgatum (switchgrass), 3082 nucleotides. It is a transcript of the gene named O-fucosyltransferase 1-like, with no coding region annotated. The transcript is spliced from 9 exons. NCBI's taxonomy places the organism in Eukaryota, Viridiplantae, Streptophyta, Magnoliopsida, Poales, Poaceae. The record is from RefSeq and is a predicted model, not a curated record.